This 253-nucleotide ribosomal RNA is filed under the name uncultured bacterium. RNAcentral's name for it is "partial 16S ribosomal RNA". It matches the Rfam family "Bacterial small subunit ribosomal RNA", at positions 524 to 776 of the family's 1533-position model. The record is from RNAcentral.
UACAGAGGGGGCAAGCGUUGUUCGGAAUUACUGGGCGUAAAGGGCGCGUAGGCGGCCUGCUAAGUCGAUCGUGAAAUCCCCGGGCUUAACCCGGGAACUGCGACCGAUACUGGUUGGCUUGAAUUCGGGAGAGGGAUGUGGAAUUCCAGGUGUAGCGGUGAAAUGCGUAGAUAUCUGGAGGAACACCGGUGGCGAAGGCGGCAUCCUGGACCGGCAUUGACGCUGAGGCGCGAAAGCCAGGGGAGCAAACGGG